This 24-nucleotide non-coding RNA is filed under the name Cricetulus griseus (Chinese hamster). The record is from RNAcentral. Lineage: Eukaryota; Metazoa; Chordata; Mammalia; Rodentia; Cricetidae.
AAAGCCCAAAAGGAGUUUGUCAGG